UACGUAGGGUGCAAGCGUUAAUCGGAAUUACUGGGCGUAAAGCGUGCGCAGGCGGUUUUGUAAGACAGGCGUGAAAUCCCCGGGCUCAACCUGGGAAUGGCGCUUGUGACUGCAAAGCUGGAGUGCGGCAGAGGGGGAUGGAAUUCCGCGUGUAGCAGUGAAAUGCGUAGAUAUGCGGAGGAACACCGAUGGCGAAGGCAAUCCCCUGGGCCUGCACUGACGCUCAUGCACGAAAGCGUGGGGAGCAAACAGGAUUAGAUACCCCGGUAGUCCC
This 274-nucleotide ribosomal RNA is filed under the name uncultured bacterium. RNAcentral describes it as "partial 16S ribosomal RNA". It matches the Rfam family "Bacterial small subunit ribosomal RNA", at positions 524 to 797 of the family's 1533-position model. The record is from RNAcentral.